Molecule: signal recognition particle RNA, 264 nt
Filed under: Lachnospiraceae bacterium
Lineage: Bacteria; Bacillati; Bacillota; Clostridia; Lachnospirales; Lachnospiraceae
Description: signal recognition particle sRNA large type
Rfam family: Bacterial large signal recognition particle RNA
About the family: The signal recognition particle (SRP) is a universally conserved ribonucleoprotein involved in the co-translational targeting of proteins to membranes. Archaeal SRP consists of a 7S RNA and homologues of the eukaryotic SRP19 and SRP54 proteins.
Source: RNAcentral
UCGUGCAGCCGGGGUGUUAGCGGUACCUUGUAGCCCACAAUCCGCUAUAGUGGGGGUGAUGUUACACAGAGGGCGGUUUCUUGUGAAGCUGCCUCCGGUAAGUGGCGUUGAUGUCUGGGUCUUACGCGGCGGACGUCUGUGAACCGUGUCAGGUCAGGAAUGAAGCAGCACUAAGCAGAAUGUUCCGGGUGUUGUAAGGGCGCCUGGGCUGAGUUAACUGCCGGAGUACCGUUUGGGGGAAGCCGUUCGAAGUGUAACGCACGU